UCGCUUCAGCAGCACAUAUACUACAAUUGGAAUGAUACAGAGAAGAUUAGCAUGGCCCCUGAGCAAGGAUGACAUGCAAAUUCAAGAAGCAUUCCAUAUUUUU
RNAcentral lists this small nuclear RNA (103 nucleotides) under Bos mutus (wild yak). Lineage: Eukaryota; Metazoa; Chordata; Mammalia; Artiodactyla; Bovidae. The record is from RNAcentral.